CCUACGGGAGGCUGCAGUCGAGAAUCUUCCGCAAUGGACGAAAGUCUGACGGAGCGACGCCGCGUGAUUGAUGAAGCUUUUCGGAGUGUAAAGAUCUUUUAUGAGGGAAGAAGUUUAUUGACGGUACCUCAUGAAUAAGGGGCUCCUAAUCUCGUGCCAGCAGGAGCGGUAAUACGAGAGCCCCGAGCGUUAUCCGGAAUUAUUGGGCGUAAAGGGUGCGUAGGUGGCACUGUUAGUCGUUUGUCAAAUCUCCGGGCUUAACCCGGAAUCCGCGAACGAAACGGCAGAGCUAGAGAGUGUGAGGGGUAUAGGGAACUCAUGGUGUAGGGGUGAAAUCCGUUGAUAUCAUGGGGAACACCAAAAGCGAAGGCACUAUACUGGCACAUGUCUGACACUCAAGCACGAAAGCGUGGGUAGCGAAUGGGAUUAGAUACCCCAGUAGUC
RNAcentral lists this unclassified non-coding RNA (444 nucleotides) under uncultured fungus. RNAcentral describes it as "partial internal transcribed spacer 1". It matches the Rfam family "Bacterial small subunit ribosomal RNA", at positions 338 to 795 of the family's 1533-position model. The record is from RNAcentral. Lineage: Eukaryota; Fungi.